RNAcentral lists this transfer RNA (87 nucleotides) under Candidatus Nanosynbacter sp. HMT-352. Its description in RNAcentral is "Nanosynbacter sp. HMT-352 tRNA-OTHER". Lineage: Bacteria; Bacillati; Minisyncoccota; Nanosynbacteria; Nanosynbacterales; Nanosynbacteraceae. The record is from RNAcentral.
GGACAUGAUUCUGGAAAAAUCCCGCCGCUUUGUUGUGAAAAUGGAGUAGCGGUUGAUAAGUGGGUUCGACUCCCUCCAUGUCCGCCA